GCCCGGCUAAUUUUUGUAAUUUUAGUAGAGACGGGGUCGCCCAGUGAUACUCAGGUUGGUCUUUAACUCUUGGGCUCAAGAGACGCACCCACCUCGGUCUUCCAAAGUGCUGGGAUUACAGGCUUGAACUACCAUUGCCAGCCUGAGCUGGUUACAUUCUAAGGACUCUUUGUGAGACUAAUUAAAACAUUUUUCUUUCCAAGGCACAUGGCAGGUGGUGCUGUUUCUUUCCUGCAGGAUGUUUGCUGAGCAUUUGUGAGGGGAGCAUCUUUAGGGAAAGCAGGACAAGCCCUAAAAGGCUUUCUCUGAAUAUUACCUUUGCUCUUCACUUUGGUAGGUCCUGAAGGCAUAGAAAGGGGUCCUCUGGAGAACACAAACUGAGCAUUGCUGGGCCUCAGGGGCCUCCAGUGAUGCUGGAGGCAGCCACUGCUGUCCUUCAGCUGCGAGGAGCAAGGAGGGUGAUUCCAGCUUUCUCCUGGUUGAUUUUGCCCUCUUUUAAAAAAUAGGAAGUUUGCAAGAUUUCUUGAAAGAACUCUAGUUGGAGUUGUAAAACUAAUGUUUUUUCCUCUGGUCCCUGCCACCCACUGGAAGGGGACUGCAGGGAAGUGUCAUCUGCAUGGCUGUUUAAUACCUUGUAACUCUGGUUGUACUACUCUGGACAGGGCUUCUGAGAACCACCUGCAGUUCUGCUUAUUGCUGGUGUUGAGAUUCAGUUUUUGCAGGAAGGAGAGACAUUGGCGCCAAGAAAUUCUAUCAGGGGACGUUUAAUAACUGGAAAGAGCUUAGGAAGCCAGGUUUGGAGAGCCAGAUGCCUUGGUGUCCUUAUAAUGCAAGUGGGAUUGCAUUGUGUGUCAAGGCUUGGCAUUGUCGGAGGUCAAGAAGACUAACUGAGUCAAGCAGAGCCAUUGGCUGCUAGAGUACGGUG
Molecule: long non-coding RNA, 925 nt
Organism: Sapajus apella (tufted capuchin)
Lineage: Eukaryota; Metazoa; Chordata; Mammalia; Primates; Cebidae
Exons: 3
Source: RefSeq, a predicted model, not a curated record